Small nucleolar RNA from Sphaeramia orbicularis (orbiculate cardinalfish), 181 nucleotides. Ensembl annotates it as small nucleolar RNA SNORA23. NCBI's taxonomy places the organism in Eukaryota, Metazoa, Chordata, Actinopteri, Kurtiformes, Apogonidae. The record is from Ensembl.
GGUGGAUGGUGUGCGUGGUGUCGGUCCAUGUUAUGUAUUGUUGCCAGACUACGUUUUGUAGCCUGUGCAGCGGUGCUCACUCCUCACUUGCAGCCAUAGAGCAGAAGGAGAUCAUAGUACUGGCCCUUGAUGUCUUUCUUGACUUCUCACCAUUGGUCAGCCUCCAAACUCUCCAACAUAA